CUGCCACCACCCCCCUCCUGGCACAGGCGAACCCCUUUCUUGGGAGCGUUGUGGGUGAGGUUUUGCUCUGCACCGGUGAACAAACACCAGCGUAAUACAGGAUGACCUUCUCCAUGCAGGUUUUCCCCUCAGCACCGCCAGGGCUGCAGUAAGGCAGGUGCAUUAUAUGGGGCAAUCCAGCAGCCCCAUAUAAUGCGCUCUGCUCGAACCUCCGCCCGCGCGACACGCUGGGGAAUUUCAAGGGAAUCACUCCCUCAAAACCAGAGCCUUUACCUGUUUGAUCUGUGGCGUGAACGAACAUUUCCUUUCCCCAUGGAAAGGGGGGGGGACCGGCGCCCACAAGGAGCCUGGACAGGACCCGCCAGAGCUGAGGGUCCGGUGCCUCACGAGGCGGGAGCGCCGCCAUCACCGCGGCCUCAGCAGCGCCCCCAGUGCAGGGCCGGCCCCGCUCCUUCUCCUCCCCGCUCCUUCUCCUCUGUAAAUCCCUCCCGACGCUCCAAGGAAACAAGAGCUCAUCUUCCUCCAUAGUAUUCUCUUUUGAGUACCCCAGGUGCUUUGCUUCUUUAGGUGCGAUUUGUUGUUUCUCUUAAUUUUCUUUGGAGGUUUGGCUCUCUGAUUCAUUUGUAUGCCAUCGUUGCACACUGGCCAUAAAAAACCACUGCCAAGUGUUAUGAGGGAAAACAAAGCACAGCUGCAGCCUGGGACAGACAAUAAGGAAGGUGAACCAAGCAGGUGUGGGCUCCCACAAAUCGGGGCAGCUCUGGGAUAUGAGAUCACCAGCCUUUUGUGUGUGCCUUUGGAGAUGGGCAGGAAGAAUUUGUAUUCCCAGGACUGAGGAACAUCAAGAACUAAAGAAGCCAUUUCACAACGUGAGGUAGUCCAUGAGGAAGGGGAUGUAAAAAAUCAGCCAUCUGCAGGGAACAAACAAGAGCUUCUGGCUCUACGAUGACCCAGGGACUUGCAGUGAGGACAGAGGAUUGCCAGAAAUGUCAGGUGUUAGGACUCACAUCUACAGAAGUUCUGACCUGUGCAGCAAGGGAGUGAGUCCUCAGAAAUCUGAAAAUUAUAAUGGUGACAAGUGCUAGAUGUAGAUUUCCUACUGCAACCAGUAGCAGUUUGCAUGCAGAAAGAUUUCAGAAGCGGGCAUCCUUUCCUUUUCCUUCCCAAGUUUUAUUAAUUUGACCAAAGACUAUGUGGCUUCAGCCUUAACAAAAACCAAUAAAAUUCUGGGAUGAUUUAGGCUGGAACAACCUCUGAGUGACUUGACUAAUCCAAAUCAUUCCAUUUCAAUCCAAAUUGAUUUCAUUACCCUUAAGUCAUUUAUUUAAAUAAAUGGAGUCAGAAGA
Molecule: long non-coding RNA, 1346 nt
Organism: Pipra filicauda (Wire-tailed manakin)
Lineage: Eukaryota; Metazoa; Chordata; Aves; Passeriformes; Pipridae
Exons: 2
Source: RefSeq, a predicted model, not a curated record